GGAAGAAAGAGAGGUACUAGGUACAGCAGCCAGUGUUGGCAUUUUGUCUAGGCUCAGCCCCAUAGUAACCUGGCAAUGGCCAUGUGUGCCUGACUCACUAUGAAAGGGGCUGCCUAUCCCUCACCCUUGCUCUCUUCUUCUCUUGUCCUUGCUCCCUUACCUUCUUCCCCUCUCUCUCCAUCCCCUCCCCCCUCUCUAUCUUUCUCUCUCUCUGCCUUUCUCCAUCUCUACUCCCUCAACUCCUCUCCCCAUGCUGUAAAUAAACUCUAUUCUAUACUAUGCCAUCCUGUGGCUGGCACCUCAGGGGGAAGAGGUGCCUCAGCCUGGGCCUGCAGAGGCACCCCCUCCUCCACAACCUACCACACCUCCAGCAAACAUAUCCCUGCCUUCCUCUCUUUCUUUUUAUAAGAAAAUAGCAACGAGGAGAGACAAAGGGAUCUGAUAACCAAAAAUGGUUGACUCCCCUGUGGAAGUAUAGCUGGGGAAAGGCGGGCCAGCCCUGAGCUGGAGAAUUCAGGGUAGGGAGCACGGAGAACCUAGUGCUCCUG
RNAcentral lists this long non-coding RNA (548 nucleotides) under Rattus norvegicus (Norway rat). RNAcentral's name for it is "long non-coding RNA NONRATT004665". The record is from RNAcentral. Lineage: Eukaryota; Metazoa; Chordata; Mammalia; Rodentia; Muridae.